RNAcentral lists this ribosomal RNA (494 nucleotides) under uncultured bacterium. RNAcentral's name for it is "partial 16S ribosomal RNA". It matches the Rfam family "Bacterial small subunit ribosomal RNA", at positions 28 to 507 of the family's 1533-position model. The record is from RNAcentral.
GACGAACGCUGGCGGCGUGCUUAACACAUGCAAGUCGAACGGUGAAGCGCCUUCCUUUUUGGUUGGUGUGGAUGAGUGGCGAACGGGUGAGUAACACGUGAGUAACCUGCCCCCUUCUUCUGGAUAACCGCAUGAAAGUGUGGCUAAUACGGGAUAUUCUGGGUCUGUCGCAUGAUGGGUCUGGGUAAGAUGUUGUUUCGGUGGGGGAUGGGCUCGCGGCCUAUCAGCUUGUUGGUGGGGUGAUGGCCUACCAAGGCGGUGACGGGUAGCCGGCCUGAGAGGGUAGACGGUCAGAGUGGGAGUGAGACACGGCUGAGACUGCGACGGGAGGCAGCAGUGGGGAAGAUUGCACAAUGGGCGCAAGCCUGAUGCAGCGACGCCGCGUGAGGGAUGGAGGCCUGCGGGUUGUGAACCUCUUUCGCCAGUGAAGCAGGCCUGCCUCGUUUGUGGGUGGGUUGACGGUAGCUGGAUAAGAAGCGCCGGCUAACUACGUG